Molecule: long non-coding RNA, 499 nt
Organism: Saccostrea cuccullata (small rock oyster)
Lineage: Eukaryota; Metazoa; Mollusca; Bivalvia; Ostreida; Ostreidae
Exons: 3
Source: RefSeq, a predicted model, not a curated record
CUGAUCUCCAGGGUGAUCUCCAUACACCCUGCCUGCAUGUAGUUCCAGUCCUGCAUGCCACCUAAAGGAACAGAAGAGAAAAACAUGUAUACAAAAUUGCACAGGAGAAUCAUUAGGACCUCAGGUCUUGUAAAGAGUUGUGCAGUUCAGAAAUUUUCCUCUGAAAUGACUUAAAGAAUUACCAGUUACUGGAUACCACAGAGCACCAUUAGUUAUACCCUCUGGGAAUCGGUCUCCACAAUGGCUGCCAGAGGACAUGUUACUGUGUUUGUAGGAAUAUGUCUUAGAUAACGAAAUAAAUGUAUCAUCAUCAGGGCAGGUCACAUACUUAGGAAUACCAUUGGCUGAAAAAAAGUUAAAAUUGAGUUACUUGCCAAUUGACUCUCAUGAUAGUCACAGAUUACAGUCCUUCACUUCCUACCAUUUGGGUAAUUAUCAAAGGGAUAGUUGGCAACCAGUGUUCCUCCAUGGAGGUUAGCCGAGAGGACAAAUCGAUACU